UGGGGAAUAUUGCGCAAUGGGGGAAACCCUGACGCAGCGACGCCGCGUGAGCGAUGAAGGCCUUAGGGUUGUAAAGCUCUGUUUUAGGGGACGAAUGUCCAUGUGAGUAAUAUGCGCGUGGAAUGACGGUACCCUAAGAGGAAGCCCCGGCUAACUACGUGCCAGCAGCCGCGGUAAGACGUAGGGGGCGAGCGUUGUCCGGAAUUACUGGGCGUAAAGAGCACGUAGGCGGGAACUUAAGUCAGGUGUGAAAGACCGGGGCUCAACUCCGGGAUUGCACGUGAAACUGGGUUUCUUGAGGGCAGGAGAGGAAAGCAGAAUUCCUGGUGUAGCGGUGAAAUGCGUAGAAAUCAGGAGGAAUACCAGUGGCGAAGGCGGCUUUCUGGACUGACCCUGACGCUGAGGUGCGAAAGCGUGGGUAGCAAACA
This 428-nucleotide ribosomal RNA is filed under the name uncultured prokaryote. RNAcentral's name for it is "bacterial SSU rRNA". It matches the Rfam family "Bacterial small subunit ribosomal RNA", at positions 355 to 774 of the family's 1533-position model. The record is from RNAcentral.